CUGUGUGGAUAGUGUUCAGAACAAAGGACAUGUGUGUUCCCUGUGUGUGGAUGGUGUUCAGCAGCAGGGACAGAUGUGUUUACCA
Non-coding RNA from Branchiostoma floridae (Florida lancelet), 85 nucleotides. The record is from Rfam. Lineage: Eukaryota; Metazoa; Chordata; Leptocardii; Amphioxiformes; Branchiostomatidae.